RNAcentral lists this ribosomal RNA (255 nucleotides) under uncultured bacterium. Its description in RNAcentral is "partial 16S ribosomal RNA". It matches the Rfam family "Bacterial small subunit ribosomal RNA", at positions 99 to 354 of the family's 1533-position model. The record is from RNAcentral.
CGGACGGGUGAGUAACGCGUGGGUAACCUGCCCCAUANAGGGGGACAACAGCUGGAAACGGCUGCUAAUACCGCAUAGCAGGGAAGAGACGCAUGUCUUUUCCUUCAAAGAUUUAUCGCUAUGGGAUGGACCCGCGUCUGAUUAGCUAGUUGGUAGGGUAACGGCCUACCAAGGCGACGAUCAGUAGCCGGCUUGAGAGAGUGGACGGCCACAUUGGGACUGAGACACGGCCCAAACUCCUACGGAAGGCAGCAG